This 468-nucleotide ribosomal RNA is filed under the name uncultured bacterium. Its description in RNAcentral is "partial 16S ribosomal RNA". It matches the Rfam family "Bacterial small subunit ribosomal RNA", at positions 28 to 507 of the family's 1533-position model. The record is from RNAcentral.
GACGAACGCUGGCGGCGUGCUUAACACAUGCAAGUCGAACGGAAAGGCCCUGCUUUUGUGGGGUGCUCGAGUGGCGAACGGGUGAGUAACACGUGAGUAACCUGCCCUUGACUUUGGGAUAACUUCAGGAAACUGGGGCUAAUACCGGAUAGGAGCUCCUGCUGCAUGGUGGGGGUUGGAAAGUUUCGGCGGUUGGGGAUGGACUCGCGGCUUAUCAGCUUGUUGGUGGGGUAGUGGCUUACCAAGGCUUUGACGGGUAGCCGGCCUGAGAGGGUGACCGGCCACAUUGGGACUGAGAUAGGGCCCAGACUCCUAUGGGAGGCAGUAGUGGGAAAUAUUGCACAAUGGGCGGAAGCCUGAUGCAGCAACGCCGCGUGCGGGAUGACGGCCUUCGGGUUGUAAACCGCUUUCGCCUGUGACGAAGCGUGAGUGACGGUAAUGGGUAAAGAAGCACCGGCUAACUACGUG